This 315-nucleotide ribosomal RNA is filed under the name uncultured Pseudomonadota bacterium. RNAcentral describes it as "bacterial SSU rRNA". It matches the Rfam family "Bacterial small subunit ribosomal RNA", at positions 30 to 351 of the family's 1533-position model. The record is from RNAcentral. Lineage: Bacteria; Pseudomonadati; Pseudomonadota.
AUUGAACGCUGGCGGCAUGCCUAACACAUGCAAGUCGAACGGAAUAAGGGGUAACUCUUUAUUUAGUGGCGGACGGGUGAGGAAUACGUAGGAAUCUGCCCCUAAAAGUGGGGGAUAACUCGGGGAAACGUCGAGCUAAUACCGCAUGUGCUCUACGGAGCAAAGGGGGCGCAAGCUCUCGCUUUGGGAUGAGCCUACGUCGGAUUAGCUAGUUGGUGGGGUAAAGGCCUACCAAGGCAACGAUCCGUAGCUGGUCUGAGAGGAUGACCAGCCACACUGGGACUGAGAUACGGCCCAGACUCCUACGGGAGGCAG